RNAcentral lists this long non-coding RNA (1044 nucleotides) under Ailuropoda melanoleuca (giant panda). RNAcentral describes it as "lncRNA (ENSAMEG00000031049.1)". Lineage: Eukaryota; Metazoa; Chordata; Mammalia; Carnivora; Ursidae. The record is from RNAcentral.
UGCGCCAUUCCAAAUCGCGGUGCCCGCCAGCAGGAAGCGACGGAGGCACCAGAUUUCCCUUCCGCAUUAAGAGGGUUUUUUCCUUUUUUUCCUGCUUGGCCGACGGAGAGCUUUUUAAAUUGGACGUGGAGAUCCUCAAUUAGAAGUGUGGAGAAGCUGGCAAAAGAGGAAACAGCGGAAAAGUCGCCGCUUCGCCAGAGGAGGCUCUGGGCUCUCGUUCCCGCCCGAGGCUGGGUGCAGCGCAGGCCGGGAAAGCGCUCUCCCGCCUCCCCCGCGGCAGGGAGGGCGCAUUCUUCCCUGCGCGCACCGCCGGGGCGGCCCCGCUCGCAGCGGCUCUUUAGUUCCCGGUAUUUGCUGGGCGGAGGAGGAGGAGGGGAUUGGGGCGCUGAGCAUACACAGUGGUCUACUAGGAAGCUUUUCUCCGGGCCAGUGUGGGCCCCCCACACCCCGCUGCUUCCCGGUUUGUCUCUUUAUCUCUUUCUCCAAAGCACGGCAGCGGGACGUGUUUGUGCCGCAACCCGCCGCCUUUGCUGCGCGCGCCAACUGCUUAACGCGCUGCCUCGUGCGGUAACCGCGUUCUCCUCCCGAAGUCGGCUCCGCAGGUGCCCCCGCACUCACUCUUGCACCCCACAGCCUGCUCCCCCUCUGCGCCCGGGACCAGAGCGCCCCGCAGGGCAAAGGGGGCGCAUCACGGGCGCCCGCACCCGGUGGUCCCCAGGCCCGCGGCGGAAAGGGCGCCCUGGAGGGCCCCAGCGCCCACAGAAGCCGCCGCUCGCGGUGGGGCGCUUCUGGGUUCCCAGCACCAGGGGGCACCAGAAACCGUCCGAGUCCCUUAGCGCCCACGCGAAUGAGAAGCUGCGUCGUCAUUUUAAGUAUCAAAUCAGUGAACAAGCACCCCCGGUCCCCCCACAAUCCUCCCCAAAUCCAAAUUACCCCCGAACUUCCGGAUGUGCUCACCAGCAUGCCUGCUUUUCAGGUUCCUACCCUCCAUCCUCUCUCCCCAGUUUCGCCCUUCCCACCUCACCUGAUCUGGUUUCUCGGUAA